GGCUUGCUGGUCUAGUGGUAUGAUUCUCGCUUUGGGUGCGAGAGGUCACGGGUUCGAUUCCCGUGCCAGCCC
This 72-nucleotide transfer RNA is filed under the name Paramuricea clavata. It matches the Rfam family "tRNA". Rfam says of the family: Transfer RNA (tRNA) molecules are approximately 80 nucleotides in length. Their secondary structure includes four short double-helical elements and three loops (D, anti-codon, and T loops). Lineage: Eukaryota; Metazoa; Cnidaria; Anthozoa; Malacalcyonacea; Plexauridae. The record is from Rfam by way of RNAcentral.